Capra hircus (goat) is the source of this 1811-nucleotide RNA transcript. It is a transcript of the gene named palmitoyltransferase ZDHHC6 pseudogene, with no coding region annotated. Lineage: Eukaryota; Metazoa; Chordata; Mammalia; Artiodactyla; Bovidae. The record is from RefSeq and is a predicted model, not a curated record. The transcript has a single exon.
GGAAAUGUGUGCACAGAAAAAGGAAAUCUGUAAUUCUUUAAAAACUGGAAGACAUUCUUCCUCACCAAAAUGGGUACAUUCUGCUCAGUUGUCAAGUUUGAAAAUCUCCAAGAAAUAAAGUGACUUUGUCACUGGGGUCCCAUUAUAGCUCUUGGUGUUAUAGCAAUAUGUUCUACCAUGGCCAUGAUUGACUCUGUGUUGUGGUAUUGGCCCUUACAUACCACUGGAGGAAGCGUGAAUUUCAUUAUGUUGAUAAACUGGACUGUCAUGAUUCUUUAUAAUUACUUCAGUGCCAUGUUUGUUGGUCCUGGCUUCGUCCCUCUGGGGUGGAAACCGAAAAAUUCUCAGGAUAGCAUGUACCUCCAGUAUUGUAAAGUCUACCAAGCAUACAUGGCACCACGGUCACAUCACUGCAGAAAGUGUAACAGAUGUGUGAUGAAGAUGGACCAUCACUGCCCUUGGAUCAACAACUGCUGUGGCUAUCAGAAUCAUGCUUCCUUCACUCUGUUCCUCCUUUUAGCACCACUGGGCUGUAUUCACGCUGCCUUUAUUUUUGUCAUGACAAUGUAUACGCAGCUUUAUAAUCAGAUGAAAAUAAUUCUCAGAAACAAAACUUCUAUUGAAUCAUGGAUUGAAGAGAAGGCUAAAGAUCGAAUUCAAUAUUAUCAACUAGAUGAUGACUUUGUUUUUCCUUAUGAUAUGGGAAGUAGAUGGAAGAACUUCAAACAAGUAUUCACAUGGUCAGGGGUCCCUGAAGGAGAUGGGCUGGAUUGGCCAGUUAGAGAAGACUGUCACCAGUACAGCUUAACAAUAGAACAUUUGAAACAAAAAGCAGAUAAAAGAGUCAGAAGUGUCCGGUAUAAAGUGAUAGAAGAUUAUAGUGGUACCUGCUGUCCUUUGAAUAGAGGAAUCAAAACAUUCUUCACAAGCCCCUGUACUGAGGAACCUCGGAUAAGACUACAGAAAGGGGAAUUCAUCUUAGCUACAAGAGGGUUACAGUACUGGUUGUAUGGAGACAAAAUUCUUGAUGAUUCUGUUUUAGAAGGUGUUUCAAGAAUAAGAGGAUGUUUCCCUAGAAACUGUGUAGAAAAGUGCCCCUGUGACGCCAAAACAGAUCAAGCCCCAGAGGGCGAGAAGAAAAACAGAUAGCUGCUUUUGAAGUAAAAUUCCUCUCAGUCCGCUCCAUUACUUGAAAACUGUACAUAUUACUAAAGAAUUAUGCAAUGAGCCUACUCUGGUUAAGGUGUUCUUUUCCUCAAAGGUGCCCUAGUGCCAUGAUCUAGAUAUUUUUAUUACCACUUUGAAAUGGAGAAGCCAUUCUGCACUUGCCUUUGAAUUCCUGCACCUCUCUGCCACCUCUCCCCUCCCCCAAAGGAAAAACACUUCACCCAAGCGAGUCAAUUGCAUUUUCUCUAGAGUUUUGUGUGCGCUGCACACAGUGGACCUGACGUGCAGAUAGAGGUCCCCCUCUACCAGGAGCAUCUGCAUGCGAUGCUUUUAUCCUCUGUCCCCCUCGGCCGAAUUUCUGAUAUUCCAGAUACUAUAGAACUUAACUUGUCAGAUUCAGUGUAAGCUCAGAUUUUAUUACCCGUCUUUUAAUAAUGAUGAUUUUGUCAAAUCAAAUAAAGAUCAAUGGCUGUUCUGUAUAAAUCAUAGUUUUUACUCCAGUCAUCUUUCUUUUUGCCGACUAAAAAGGAGUGUUAUUUCCUAUGGAAAAACUGCUGCUUUACUGCCUCUUGGAAAAUUCAGAUCUUUAAUCAUAAGUCUUAAGACAUAUAUAUUUGCCUCAAAUAAAUAAUUAAUGGCAUAUU